GACGGAGGAUGCAAGUGUUAUCCGGAAUCACUGGGCGUAAAGCGUCUGUAGGUGGUUUAAUAAGUCAACUGUUAAAUCUUGAGGCUCAACCUCAAAAUCGCAGUCGAAACUAUUAGGCUAGAGUAUAGUAGGGGUAAAGGGAAUUUCCAGUGGAGCGGUGAAAUGCGUAGAGAUUGGAAAGAGCACCGAUGGCGAAGGCACUUUACUGGGCUAUUACUAACACUCAGAGACGAAAGCUAGGGUAGCAAAUGGG
This 253-nucleotide ribosomal RNA is filed under the name uncultured bacterium. Its description in RNAcentral is "partial 16S ribosomal RNA". It matches the Rfam family "Bacterial small subunit ribosomal RNA", at positions 524 to 776 of the family's 1533-position model. The record is from RNAcentral.